AUAAGUUUUAUGUGGAACUACUGAAAAUAAACUUUCAACCAUUGAUUUUGUAUAGUGCUACUCUAAGCUUACUCUUUGACUAGACAGUGGUAGAAGAGUAUCUUCAACUCGUUGGAUCAUUGCAGCCUCCGAUAAAGAUCCGACUUUGGAAUAUAUAAACGUUUGAACGUUUUAAUAGUACCUUGAACCGUUGGUUAGAUGGAGAAAUUGUAGAGGAUGAAAGGAUCAAAAGAAUUCAAUGGCUUGAGUCCACGUUCAACCAAAGUGGAGAAGUUCGUGUAUGGGUGGAUAUUAAGAUUGACAGAGACGUUCACAAGAUGAUGUAUACUAUAUUCAAAAUUGUUUUGAUGGUUGUAAUCGCAUAGUUAUGUUGUAUUUGUUAAUGAUGGUAUUUUAUUUGUUGUAGUUUGUUGUGUUGUUGUUUAUGUGUUGUAUUUAUUUGUGAUGGUAUUUCUUUACAAAGUUAUCAUAUGAAAUAAAUGUUAUUUUUAAUAUAAAACAAAAGAGUUACAAUUAAAAUUAUCUUGUUGUGUU
This is a long non-coding RNA of Lathyrus oleraceus (garden pea), 534 nucleotides long. RefSeq lists it as uncharacterized. The record is from RefSeq and is a predicted model, not a curated record. Lineage: Eukaryota; Viridiplantae; Streptophyta; Magnoliopsida; Fabales; Fabaceae. The transcript has 2 exons.